AAGGGAAAAUAGAUUUUUUUGUCACCCAACUUAUUAUUUGUUUAGAAACUUACCACUGAACUAUAAUUUUUUUCUUUUUUGUCACUAAUGUUAGGUUUGGACUUUUUUUUGUCAUUAAUGUUAGGUUCGGAUUUGAUUAUUAACACUAUGUUAUUUUUUUAGCAUUAUUAAUAUAUAGUGUUAGUCUGCAAUAUAAUGGCGAUCUGAUAUGUGUCUAUAUCUUUAUAUAUAGUGUCCAAGGUAGUUUACCUUGGAAGACGAGAGUUGAACACGCAUUUUGAGACUCCGAAAAAUUUUAAAAAUUAUUUUAUUUUAUUUUUUCUGAAUAGAAUUUAAUGUUGGUUUUUUUUCCUUAAAAAAAUGUUGGAUUUUUUUUUGUCACUAACGUUAUGUUUUGAUUUGAUUAUUAACAAUAUGUUAUUUUUUUAGCAUUAUAAAAACAUAGUGGUAUUUUAAAAACAUAGUGACAAGUAGUAUUUUAAAAACGUAAAAAGUUUAGUUUUAUAAAUUAUUUUAGGACUUCACAAAAAUAUAGUAUCACUUUACUUUAUAGUUCUUUACCACUACUUGUCACGUAUUUUAAGGUUCCCAUUUUUUAUAAAUAUAGUUCCAUAAGUUAAUUUUGAGAUUUCCUUUCUGAGUAAAAAAAUCCGUACUCUCGUCCUCCAAAAUAAACUACUUAAGACACACAUGGAGUACUACAUAUAAAGAUAUAGACACAUAUCACCAUUAUAUUGCAGACUAUCGAAAAAUAGAUUUCCGAAAAAUAUCGUUUAAAUGGUCAGAAAAAUAGAAUGACAUAGUGUUAAUAAUCAAAUCCGAACCUAGCGUUAGUGACAAAAAAAAAAUUAUAGUUCCAUAAGUUAAUUUUGAGAUUUCCUUUCUGAGUAAAAAAAUCCGUACUCUCGUCCUCCAAAAUAAACUACUUAAGACACACAUGGAGUACUACAUAUAAAGAUAUAGACACAUAUCACCAUUAUAUUGCAGACUAUCGAAAAAUAGAUUUCCGAAAAAUAUCGUUUAAAUGGUCAGAAAAAUAGAAUGACAUAGUGUUAAUAAUCAAAUCCGAACCUAGCGUUAGUGACAAAAAAAAAAUUCGAACCUAACAUUAGUGGCAAAAAAGGAAAAAAUUAUAGUUCAGUGAUAAUAAUCAAAUCCGAACCUAGCGUUAGUGACAAAAAAAAAUUCCGAACCUAACAUUAGUGGCAAAAAAGAAAAAAAUUAUAAUUCAGUGGUAGGUUUCUAAACAAAUAAUAAGUUGGGUGGCAAAAAAAUCUAUUUUCCCAC
This 1287-nucleotide long non-coding RNA is filed under the name Daucus carota (carrot). RNAcentral describes it as "long non-coding RNA (DCAR_LNC004341)". Lineage: Eukaryota; Viridiplantae; Streptophyta; Magnoliopsida; Apiales; Apiaceae. The record is from RNAcentral.